RNAcentral lists this ribosomal RNA (253 nucleotides) under uncultured bacterium. Its description in RNAcentral is "partial 16S ribosomal RNA". It matches the Rfam family "Bacterial small subunit ribosomal RNA", at positions 524 to 776 of the family's 1533-position model. The record is from RNAcentral.
UACGUAGGGACCAAGCGUUGUUCGGAUUUACUGGGCGUAAAGGGCGCGUAGGCGGCUUGACAAGUCACUUGUGAAAUCUCCGGGCUUAACUCGGAACGGCCAAGUGAAACUGUCAUGCUAGAGUGCAGAAGGGGCAAUCGGAAUUCUUGGUGUAGCGGUGAAAUGCGUAGAUAUCAAGAGGAACACCUGAGGUGAAGACGGGUUGCUGGGCUGACACUGACGCUGAGGCGCGAAAGCCAGGGGAGCCAACGGG